This 77-nucleotide transfer RNA is filed under the name Promethearchaeota archaeon. Its description in RNAcentral is "Candidatus Lokiarchaeota archaeon tRNA-Trp". Lineage: Archaea; Promethearchaeati; Promethearchaeota. The record is from RNAcentral.
GGGGACCUAGCGUAGCCCGGUAGCGCAACAGGCUCCAGACCUGUAGGUCGGGGGUUCAAAAUAACGUUUGAACUCCA